GGUGGAGCAUGUGGUUUAAUUCGAUGCAACGCGAAGAACCUUACCUGGGCUUGACAUCCCGAGAAUCCCCUGGAAACAGGGGAGUGCCCUUCGGGGAGCUCGGAGACAGGUGCUGCAUGGCUGUCGUCAGCUCGUGUCGUGAGAUGUUGGGUUAAGUCCCGCAACGAGCGCAACCCCCGUUCUGUGUUGCCAGCGUAAAGUCGGGCACUCACAGGAGACUGCCGGAGACAAUUCGGAGGAAGGUGGGGAUGACGUCAAAUCCUCAUGGCCCUUAUGACCUGGGCUACACACGCGCUACAAUGGCCUGUACAGAGGGAAGCGAAAGAGCGAUCUGGAGCGAAUCUCACAAAACAGGUCUCAGUUCGGAUUGCAGGCUGAAACCCGCCUGCAUGAAGCCGGAAUUGCUAGUAAUCGCAGAUCAGCUACGCUGCGGUGAAUACGUUCUCGGGCCUU
RNAcentral lists this ribosomal RNA (453 nucleotides) under uncultured Eubacteriales bacterium. RNAcentral's name for it is "bacterial SSU rRNA". It matches the Rfam family "Bacterial small subunit ribosomal RNA", at positions 931 to 1382 of the family's 1533-position model. Lineage: Bacteria; Bacillati; Bacillota; Clostridia; Eubacteriales. The record is from RNAcentral.